Molecule: ribosomal RNA, 1333 nt
Filed under: Staphylococcus aureus
Lineage: Bacteria; Bacillati; Bacillota; Bacilli; Caryophanales; Staphylococcaceae
Description: bacterial SSU rRNA
Rfam family: Bacterial small subunit ribosomal RNA
Source: RNAcentral
UGCUGUCACUUAUAGAUGGAUCCGCGCUGCAUUAGCUAGUUGGUAAGGUAACGGCUUACCAAGGCAACGAUGCAUAGCCGACCUGAGAGGGUGAUCGGCCACACUGGAACUGAGACACGGUCCAGACUCCUACGGGAGGCAGCAGUAGGGAAUCUUCCGCAAUGGGCGAAAGCCUGACGGAGCAACGCCGCGUGAGUGAUGAAGGUCUUCGGAUCGUAAAACUCUGUUAUUAGGGAAGAACAUAUGUGUAAGUAACUGUGCACAUCUUGACGGUACCUAAUCAGAAAGCCACGGCUAACUACGUGCCAGCAGCCGCGGUAAUACGUAGGUGGCAAGCGUUAUCCGGAAUUAUUGGGCGUAAAGCGCGCGUAGGCGGUUUUUUAAGUCUGAUGUGAAAGCCCACGGCUCAACCGUGGAGGGUCAUUGGAAACUGGAAAACUUGAGUGCAGAAGAGGAAAGUGGAAUUCCAUGUGUAGCGGUGAAAUGCGCAGAGAUAUGGAGGAACACCAGUGGCGAAGGCGACUUUCUGGUCUGUAACUGACGCUGAUGUGCGAAAGCGUGGGGAUCAAACAGGAUUAGAUACCCUGGUAGUCCACGCCGUAAACGAUGAGUGCUAAGUGUUAGGGGGUUUCCGCCCCUUAGUGCUGCAGCUAACGCAUUAAGCACUCCGCCUGGGGAGUACGACCGCAAGGUUGAAACUCAAAGGAAUUGACGGGGACCCGCACAAGCGGUGGAGCAUGUGGUUUAAUUCGAAGCAACGCGAAGAACCUUACCAAAUCUUGACAUCCUUUGACAACUCUAGAGAUAGAGCCUUCCCCUUCGGGGGACAAAGUGACAGGUGGUGCAUGGUUGUCGUCAGCUCGUGUCGUGAGAUGUUGGGUUAAGUCCCGCAACGAGCGCAACCCUUAAGCUUAGUUGCCAUCAUUAAGUUGGGCACUCUAAGUUGACUGCCGGUGACAAACCGGAGGAAGGUGGGGAUGACGUCAAAUCAUCAUGCCCCUUAUGAUUUGGGCUACACACGUGCUACAAUGGACAAUACAAAGGGCAGCGAAACCGCGAGGUCAAGCAAAUCCCAUAAAGUUGUUCUCAGUUCGGAUUGUAGUCUGCAACUCGACUACAUGAAGCUGGAAUCGCUAGUAAUCGUAGAUCAGCAUGCUACGGUGAAUACGUUCCCGGGUCUUGUACACACCGCCCGUCACACCACGAGAGUUUGUAACACCCGAAGCCGGUGGAGUAACCUUUUAGGAGCUAGCCGUCGAAGGUGGGACAAAUGAUUGGGGUGAAGUCGUAACAAGGUAGCCGUAUCGGAAGGUGCGGCUGGAUCACCUCCUUU